GGAAAGAGGAUGCCGUUUUUAGAGUGAAAGAGGAGGAGGGGGAGAUGACUGUUAGUUACAUCGAAAAAGGAGGAGGAAAAAGAGGAGGAAACUGGAUAUCUGGGCCCGGUUUCCCAAACGCAUCUUAAGGUGUCCAAUGGUUCUAACAAUGAAUUUAGCCUGAAAUGGUUUUGAGAAACCGUUCCCUGAUUAACACUAUACAAGGAGACGGUCGAGGGUGAACAAGUAAUACUUCAGGAGAAAGACAUGACAAUCGUGGAUUCUCUGGGGAGUCUCAACAACAUCAUGACGCUGACGAGGCAGAGAAGAGUCUCUCACAUCAGAACACCUCAAGAAACACCAGCAGAGACCCACAGGGAAGAAAUCUCACCACUGCUCUGUCUGUGGGAAGAGUUACUCAAGAUCAGAUUCACUGAAAGCACACCAGAGAAUUCACACAGGGAAGAAGUCUCACCACUGCUCUGACUGUGGGAAGAGUUACUCAAGAUCAGAUUCACUAAAAGUACACCAGAGAAAACACAUUGGAGAGAAACCUCACUGCUGCUCUGAUUGUGGGAAGAGUUGCACCUCUUUAGCAACCCUAAAAAUACAUCAGAGAAUCCAUAGAAGAGAAAAACCUUAUAGCUGCUCUGACUGUGGGAAGUGUUUUGUUUUGUCAGGACAUUUAAAAUCACACCAGAGAACACACACAGGAGAGAAACCUUAUAGCUGUGAUCUAUGUGGGAGGAGUUUUAGGCACUUAAGCAGCCUGAUAGUGCACCAGAGAAUACACACAGGAGAAAAACCUUAUAUCUGCUCUGACUGUGGGAAGUGUUUUGUUUUGUCAGGACAUUUAAAAUCACACCAGAGAACACACACAGGAGAAAUGCCUCAUAGCUGUGAUCAAUGUUACAAGAGAUACUCUGAUAAAAGAUCUCUGGUUAAACAUCAGACAAUUCAUUCAUGAAUGAGUUGUUCAAUGUGGGAAGAGUUUUACUGAAUCUAGAAAGCUGACUUUGCACCAGAGAAAACACACAGGAAAUAUACUUUACCACUGCUCUGACUGUGGGAAGAGGUUUGUUUAAUCAGGACUUUAAAAAUCAUACCAGAGAACACACACAGGAGGGAAUUAUCAUAGCUCUGAUCAAUGUGACAAGAGAUCCGUUAUAUCAAUGAAAUAAUGUCACAAUGUAAUAGGAGUAUUUUAAUGAUGUCAUAAUGAAGGAACCCUACAUGUUUGCCCUGAUCUAUUGAUUUCAGCGUGCUAUGGAUUGAAAUGAAGAGUACUACUAUGUGAUUAACAAAAAGUGACUGACAAAAAGUCGUUAUGAAAAGAAGACUACGUUGUAGUUGAAAGUUGAAAAGAUGUCUUGUAAACAACUUAAUUUCAAUGUACUUGCAGCCUUGCAACACAUGGACACAGUAUAAUAAAUUGGUCUAUAAUCAAUUUUAUUAACAAUCCUACAUCAGUCCAGUAUUUCUUGUCAACAUUCAAGUGCUAAUUGUCUUUAUUCCACUACUGAA
RNA transcript from Salmo salar (Atlantic salmon), 1503 nucleotides. RefSeq lists it as uncharacterized. Lineage: Eukaryota; Metazoa; Chordata; Actinopteri; Salmoniformes; Salmonidae. The record is from RefSeq and is a predicted model, not a curated record.